This 346-nucleotide long non-coding RNA is filed under the name Physcomitrium patens. RNAcentral describes it as "long non-coding RNA (PPAT_LNC001945)". The record is from RNAcentral. Lineage: Eukaryota; Viridiplantae; Streptophyta; Bryopsida; Funariales; Funariaceae.
AAGUCAAUACCAUCUAUGCUAAUGACAAAUCAACAAGUUUUUAAACCACAUAAUCUUGUAUUAUAGACAACAAAUAAUAAAAGAUAGUAAUUUUAUUUAUUGAUUUCUACUUCAACAUAGCUUAUUAGAUUUUUUGUUUUGAUUUGGUCAUAAUAUACUUUUAGAUUGGUGUAGUUGUCUUCAUAAGAGCCAAUUAGCUUAGAAACAACUUAUUUUCUUCUAUACCAUGCCAUCAAGUAAGAUACUAUAAUAUCUUCACUACAUCAAAUAUCUUUUUGGAUCUAUGUAAUCUUUAGAGAUCAAAAUGACAUCUCCUAUAAAUCCUAAAUUUGAAAUAAGAAUCACC